UUUUUUUUUUUUUUUUUUUAACAACUUAUCUUAAGAUCACCUGUUCCCUGUUUUGGUAAUUACAUGUCCAGAAGACAAAGUGACCAGGGUAAAGUGCUUUCAUUCCCAGGGGACAUUGGAAACACUGAAAAAUUCAAAUUUCUUUGUGGUAAAUUUUGACACUGAAAAGCUGAAUAGAAUAUCAAGGAAACUUGUUUUGUGUUUAUUUUUUUAAGAUUUUAUUUAUCUAUUCAUGAGAGACACGGAGAGAGAGGCAGAGACACAGGCAGAGGGAGAAGCAGGCUCCAUGCAGGGAGCCUAAUGUGGGACUCCAUCCCGGGACCCCAGGAUCACGACCUGAGCUGAAGGCAGAUGCUUAACCACUGAGCCAUCCAGGUGGCUGUUUUGUGUUUAGAUCCCAUGUGGAGAAUAACUGAGGGAAAGAACAUCUAGAAAACACAUGGAGAAUUGCUCUCAGCCAGUCUCUUCUCCUCAGUACAAUGGAAGAUGCUAGGGUGACCACAGAGUAGCAGGAACUUUGACCAGGGUGCACUAGGUCUUGCCUAGCAAGCGCUGUUGGAAUUUCCUCCUUUGUAUUCAAGAUGAAGUCCUCAGCAAAGUCAGUCUUCUUGACAAGGUCAGGGCGUUCAACAGUAUCUAAGACAGCCAACUUGGCUGAAAAAGAUUUAUGUUUAAAAGGACUUCUAAAGAGCACUGGACCAGGAGUCAGGGACCUAGGUUCUAAUUCUAAGCACUGCAACUAAUCAGAAGUGAAGUUUUCACGAGGAGGAGAGAUAUUGGGAGGAUGAUAGUAGUCUAACUGAAAAAGCCAUAGGGCUUUUUAAAAAUUUUACUACAAAGAAGCCAUGAUUCUAAUGCUGGCACUGUGAAAAGAAAAGCAAUAGAUGUUUGGGGACAGUUAUAUCAGAUAAGACUGUUUUACUAUGAUGUAAAAUAAUGCCACACAACAUUUAUGGAGCACUUUUACCAUGUGCCAGGUGCCAUAUUAAAACCCAUUUAAAUCAUCAUGUCAAGCCACUUAGGCAGGUUCUCUUAAUUUAGAAAAGGUAAGCAACCUGCUCAAGGCCUUAUGACUAGAAAGAGGCAGAACUGGGAAAUGAACGGCUUUGUAUGUAUAAAGUGUAGGGUAUGUGUGCAGGUGAGCGCUCCUGCAUGCAUGCAUGUGCAUGUGCAUCCAUGACUCUAAAGUCUGUGUUGGUAGCUUCUAUCGCUACCUUCCCAUUUUGCUAACGGUUUUAAGUUGUUAUUGUUUAUAAUGAAAUUAUUUUAAAAUAGGUAACACAUGUAUAUGGUACUUGACACAAAAGGUAAGAAAAAAAGAGUGAAGAGUAAGUAUAAUAUAAAUAGUCCCCUUCGCACUCCUGUCUCCCAGACAGCCAAAAACCCAUUCAGGACACAAACACUGUUAACAGUUGCUUUUCAAAUUUAAAGAAAAUUAGUUUUACAAAACUGUGGCUUGGCACUGCAUCAUUUCAUAGUCCAUGUAAACCUGGGCCAUGUUAUUAUGGAUUUUUACUUGAAUUUAAACAUUUUUUUGUGCAAAACAUUCUUCAAAAUUGAUCCCGUAGAAAACAAGAAAACAGCUCAUAGUGCCUUGCGAAUGCUAAUGCUUUUCCAACAUUAAUUGUUCAAUUUGGCUAAUCAAGCUUAGUGAUAUGGUAUAUUCUAAUUCUUUUACAUUUUCUAUUUCAAUGACGUAACUUCUUUUUACAAUAAGAUGGAACAUCUGUCUGAUGAAAAAUAGGCCAUUAUUAUUCAUCUUAAGCCAUGAAGCAUCGUUCAACGGCUCUGAACUAAUGGUCAUUACAUCAAAUAGGUUUUACUUUAAUCAUUAUUUCUAAUACAUGUGAAAUUAAUACACAGUGUUUGUCAUUACUGAGCACUAGAAUAUAAUUCUAGAAGAAGCAAUUAAUGUCUAUCAGAAGUUUUUUGAAAUAUGAUUAUCAAAUACUCGACUAAUGAAUCAUUUGCAUAUCUGAAAUUAUAACCUAAACAUCAAGCAUUCUUGUGAUAGGACGCAUUAGGUUUAAUAAUGGAAAAAAAAGAACAAGAGAGAUUUCAAAUAUUAAGUUAUAUACUUCGUCCACUUCCCUGGCAGCUCGGGAUUUUUUCUGAGGAGAAUUCAUUUUGAAAAGAACAGUUAAACAGCUUCAGGGAAAGGCCCUUUGGGGGCUUUUCCAGGAAUUGGAAUUCUCAUUUCUCUUAAUUUUUUUUAUUUACAUAAAAAAAGGAAAGUAGUUUAGAAGACCUGCAUCUCUCAAUUAAAAAAAAAAUCAUGGUUAAUUGUCAAAUUCAAUCUCUAUAUAGAGAAAUGCCAUCCGUUUCCAAAUGUUGCUUGUAAACUCUCUCGGCAAAGGGGCAAAGAAUAAUGCGCUGUAUUUCCCCUGCAGUGUUAUAUGGC
Molecule: long non-coding RNA, 2401 nt
Filed under: Canis lupus familiaris (dog)
Lineage: Eukaryota; Metazoa; Chordata; Mammalia; Carnivora; Canidae
Description: lncRNA (ENSCAFG00000054682.1, ENSCAFG00845030400.1)
Source: RNAcentral